This 430-nucleotide ribosomal RNA is filed under the name uncultured Lysobacteraceae bacterium. RNAcentral's name for it is "bacterial SSU rRNA". It matches the Rfam family "Bacterial small subunit ribosomal RNA", at positions 355 to 776 of the family's 1533-position model. The record is from RNAcentral. Lineage: Bacteria; Pseudomonadati; Pseudomonadota; Gammaproteobacteria; Lysobacterales; Lysobacteraceae.
UGGGGAAUAUUGGACAAUGGGGGCAACCCUGAUCCAGCAAUGCCGCGUGUGUGAAGAAGGCCUGCGGGUUGUAAAGCACUUUUGUCCGGGAAGAAAGGGCCUGACCUAAUACGUUGGGUGGAUGACGGUACCGGAAGAAUAAGCACCGGCUAACUUCGUGCCAGCAGCCGCGGUAAUACGAAGGGUGCAAGCGUUAAUCGGAAUUACUGGGCGUAAAGGGUGCGUAGACGGCCUGAUAAGUCGGAUGUGAAAGUCCUGGGCUCAACCUGGGGACGGCAUCUGAUACUGUUGGGCUUUGAGUUUGGGAGAGGGUGGUGGAAUUCCCGGUGUAGCGGUGAAAUGCGUAGAGAUCGGGAGGAACAUCCGUGGCGAAGGCGGCCACCUGGCCUGAAACUGACGUUGAGGCACGAAAGCGUGGGGAGCAAACAGG